This 241-nucleotide ribosomal RNA is filed under the name uncultured Staphylococcus sp. Its description in RNAcentral is "partial 16S ribosomal RNA". It matches the Rfam family "Bacterial small subunit ribosomal RNA", at positions 99 to 334 of the family's 1533-position model. The record is from RNAcentral. Lineage: Bacteria; Bacillati; Bacillota; Bacilli; Caryophanales; Staphylococcaceae.
CGGACGGGUGAGUAACACGUGGAUAACCUACCUAUAAGACUGGGAUAACUUCGGGAAACCGGAGCUAAUACCGGAUAAUAUUUCGAACCGCAUGGUUAAAAAGUAAAAGACGGUCUUGCUGUCACUUAUAGAUGGAUCCGCGCUGCAUUAGCUAGUUGGUAAGGUAACGGCUUACCAAGGCAACGAUGCAUAGCCGACCUGAGAGGGUGAUCGGCCACACUGGAACUGAGACACGGUCCAG